Molecule: ribosomal RNA, 710 nt
Filed under: Bacillus thuringiensis
Lineage: Bacteria; Bacillati; Bacillota; Bacilli; Caryophanales; Bacillaceae
Description: bacterial SSU rRNA
Rfam family: Bacterial small subunit ribosomal RNA
Source: RNAcentral
CGGGGGGCGGGCUAUACAUGCAAGUCGAGCGAAUGGAUUAAGAGCUUGCUCUUAUGAAGUUAGCGGCGGACGGGUGAGUAACACGUGGGUAACCUGCCCAUAAGACUGGGAUAACUCCGGGAAACCGGGGCUAAUACCGGAUAACAUUUUGAACUGCAUGGUUCGAAAUUGAAAGGCGGCUUCGGCUGUCACUUAUGGAUGGACCCGCGUCGCAUUAGCUAGUUGGUGAGGUAACGGCUCACCAAGGCAACGAUGCGUAGCCGACCUGAGAGGGUGAUCGGCCACACUGGGACUGAGACACGGCCCAGACUCCUACGGGAGGCAGCAGUAGGGAAUCUUCCGCAAUGGACGAAAGUCUGACGGAGCAACGCCGCGUGAGUGAUGAAGGCUUUCGGGUCGUAAAACUCUGUUGUUAGGGAAGAACAAGUGCUAGUUGAAUAAGCUGGCACCUUGACGGUACCUAACCAGAAAGCCACGGCUAACUACGUGCCAGCAGCCGCGGUAAUACGUAGGUGGCAAGCGUUAUCCGGAAUUAUUGGGCGUAAAGCGCGCGCAGGUGGUUUCUUAAGUCUGAUGUGAAAGCCCACGGCUCAACCGUGGAGGGUCAUUGGAAACUGGGAGACUUGAGUGCAGAAGAGGAAAGUGGAAUUCCAUGUGUAGCGGUGAAAUGCGUAGAGAUAUGGAGGAACACCAGUGGCGAAGGCGACUUU